RNAcentral lists this ribosomal RNA (207 nucleotides) under uncultured bacterium. RNAcentral describes it as "partial 16S ribosomal RNA". It matches the Rfam family "Bacterial small subunit ribosomal RNA", at positions 568 to 774 of the family's 1533-position model. The record is from RNAcentral.
UGCGUAGGCGGGUUUUUAAGUCAGAGGUGAAAUCCUGGAGCUCAACUCCAGAACUGCCUUUGAUACUGAGAAUCUUGAGUAUGGGAGAGGUGAGUGGAACUGCGAGUGUAGAGGUGAAAUUCGUAGAUAUUCGCAAGAACACCAGUGGCGAAGGCGGCUCACUGGCCCAUAACUGACGCUGAGGCACGAAAGCGUGGGGAGCAAACA